UACGUAGGGGGCAAGCGUUAUCCGGAUUUACUGGGUGUAAAGGGAGCGUAGACGGUAUGGCAAGUCUGAUGUGAAAACCCGGGGCUCAACCCCUGGACUGCAUUGGAAACUGUCGGACUAGAGUGUCGGAGAGGCAAGUGGAAUUCCUAGUGUAGCGGUGAAAUGCGUAGAUAUUAGGAGGAACACCAGUGGUGAAGGCGGCUUGCUGGACGAUGACUGACGUUGAGGCUCGAAAGCGUGGGGAGCAAACAGG
This 253-nucleotide ribosomal RNA is filed under the name uncultured bacterium. Its description in RNAcentral is "partial 16S ribosomal RNA". It matches the Rfam family "Bacterial small subunit ribosomal RNA", at positions 524 to 776 of the family's 1533-position model. The record is from RNAcentral.